UCUUUAGAUGCGAAUUUAUACGAUUAAGUUCUAUAUGAUCUCUCACUCUGAAAUUUUCUUUCUCCCCCUUAAUUAAUCAUUCCAUUUGAGAGUUUAGAGUUUGAAGAUAAUUUUCAAUAAAGAGAUUGAGUAUUUAAAGCUCCCCCUCAAAAGAUGCAUUUUCUUUCAAACCUUUUUUUUGUUCUUCUAUAAUAUCAUAUGUUUAGAACCAUUUAUUUGCAAUCAAGACCAUUGAAAAACACAUCAUUUAGACCAAUUUCAGUACACUUAUAAGAUAAAAAAUGAUAUGUUUCAGAUGCGUAUCGGAGCCAACAACCAAGGUAUCCAAAGUAAUUUUAUUUUUCUUAAACCGUAGUUUUCAUCUAGAAAUCAUAUUGAGUUAUUCCCCAAAAUGAUGCAAUCAUUGAAGUAUAUAAUGAAAGUUACAAAAAAUGCAAUGAUAGAAGCAUUUUUAAAUUAAGUUUAAGCUUUUAUCCUUAAGGUGUGUUUUCAAGUGAUCGAAACUUCAUUUGGCUUUUCACAAGCUUUUUAUACUUUCAUUUAUCUUGUCAUUCAUUUUCUCAUUUUUGAAUUUCUUCCUUUAACCACUCAGUGAAUAUUCUAAUCUUCAUUUCUUUUGGUUUUACUUUUCUAUGCUCUAUACUCUAUUUGCUCCCUAUCCGGUGGAGUUGGAAGGGGCACGAGGUACUACCACUAGCCUCCCUCGUGUGCCGUCCCUAAUAUGCCCUACACCGAAUAGUUGGGUCAAAUAGUGCCGGGUACUACCACUAGCCUCCCCAUUGGCACCAUCCCUAUGAUGAGCAAUAUAGAAGGGUUAAAAUGUUCACUUCAAAUUUUUUCUGUAAUUAAUUACGGAUUUUAUCUCUUUCACAAGUCUCACAAAUGUGCCGAAUGUAUUAUGCUUGUUUUUCUUUUCCUUAAGAUUGAAGUAUUUGCCUUUAC
Molecule: long non-coding RNA, 942 nt
Filed under: Phoenix dactylifera (date palm)
Lineage: Eukaryota; Viridiplantae; Streptophyta; Magnoliopsida; Arecales; Arecaceae
Description: long non-coding RNA (PDAC_LNC016613)
Source: RNAcentral